This 128-nucleotide non-coding RNA is filed under the name Pseudomonas aeruginosa. RNAcentral's name for it is "rmf". It matches the Rfam family "rmf RNA". RNAcentral also lists the same sequence under 2 other names. Lineage: Bacteria; Pseudomonadati; Pseudomonadota; Gammaproteobacteria; Pseudomonadales; Pseudomonadaceae. The record is from RNAcentral.
UUGGUUAGAACUCCAGUUAAUCCGCCACCGCAACGGUGUCGGGCGAGGGUCGUCACGCCGGCAACGACCCCUUUCGGCGAAAGCUUCGCCAGGCCUCCCCUGGGGGCCAACGGGACAUAACAGUCAAC